CCUACGGGGGGCAGCAGUGAGGAAUAUUGGUCAAUGGACGAGAGUCUGAACCAGCGAAGUAGCGUGAAGGAUGACUGCUCUAUGGGUUGUAAACUUCUUUUAUAUGGGAAUAAAACGUUCCACGUGUGGGAUUUUGUAUGUACCAUAUGAAUAAGGAUCGGCUAACUCCGAGCCAGCAGCCACGGUAAUACGGAGGAUCCGAGCGUUAUCCGGAUUUAUUGGGUUUAAAGGGAGCGUAGGUGGAUUGUUAAGUCAGUUGUGAAAGUUUGCGGCUCAACCGUAAAAUUGCAGUUGAAACUGGCAGUCUUGAGUGCAGUAGAGGUGAGCGGAAUUCGUGGUGUAGCGGUGAAAUGCUUAGAUAUCACGAAGAACUCGGAUUGCGAAGGCAGUUCACUGGACUGCAACUGACACUGAGGCUCGAAAGUGUGGGUAUCAAACAGGAUUAGAUACCCCAGUAGUC
RNAcentral lists this ribosomal RNA (460 nucleotides) under uncultured bacterium. RNAcentral describes it as "partial 16S ribosomal RNA". It matches the Rfam family "Bacterial small subunit ribosomal RNA", at positions 338 to 795 of the family's 1533-position model. The record is from RNAcentral.